Molecule: long non-coding RNA, 818 nt
Filed under: Ananas comosus (pineapple)
Lineage: Eukaryota; Viridiplantae; Streptophyta; Magnoliopsida; Poales; Bromeliaceae
Description: long non-coding RNA (ACOM_LNC012938)
Source: RNAcentral
UAGAUCGAAGACUCUCCAACGAAGCAGCGUUUGGGAACUCCCUCCUUGCCAAUAAAAUGGUAUAAAUUUGGUGCUAAAAAUAAAAAUGCGUGAAAAUUUCUAUCCCUCUCAUUUGGAAAAUACUAUAUGUAUGCUUCUUAAAGAGGUAUAUAUCUUACAUCGGUGAUCAGAGAAUCGAUUCAAUCCCUUUGAAAUUUUAGUAAUAGAAAAAAACCACAAAAUGGCUAUGGGUGUAAGGUUUUUUAGUUUACGCUAGGCUGCAAGUGUAACAGUCCAAUAAUCUCACAUUGGAUAAAAAACUGAAUCUGAUUAGAAUAUAUGAGGCCUACACACUAGUAAUAAUAACUGAGUUUAAACAUUAUGGGCCGAUUGUUGUGCCCAAUGAGUUAUUAUUGCUAGCGGGUCGGAUCGUUUGGGAUUGUACAACAUUGCAGCCUAAGUGUCAUAUGGGACAAAGUACUACACCAAUGGAUUUGGUGAGAGCUACCUCUAGAAUCUCACAUCGUCCGGUAAUUCUAGUCUGCAUCUAUUUAGUCCCACAUCGGAUCGUUGGGAGAGUUUGUAGCGCCCCAAUAGUCCCACAUCAUGUAUGUGGGUCGUUGGGAGAGUUUGUAACGCCCCAAUAAUCCCACAUCAUGUGGAGAGUUUGUAGCGCCCCAAUAGUUCCACAUCGGGUAGAAAACUAAAUCUCAUUAGAAUAUAUGAGACCUACAUAUUAGUAAUAAUAACUGGAAUUAAAUAUUUUGGGCCGAUUGUUUGAGCGCAACAAGUUAUUAUUGCUAGCGGAUUGGGUCAUUAUAGCAAGCAUAGUAUUUGCA